UUUUCCCUAAAAAAAAUAUACAAAAAGGAAAAUCCAAGAUAUCCAUUUGAGAAAAAAGGUUAGUCGAAGCAUUACAUACCUCCAUAAUCUCUCUUUCAUCAGGAUUACAUGGCUUUCGAAUUGUCCAUAUGAACAACUUCAAUACAAUGCUUACAAAAGGCUUUUUUCAAAUGUAGAAGUCAGAUUGCUUUGAUUGCGCCUUCAGAUCUUUCAAUUUCUUCAAGAUGUUUGUGAAAUAAUCCUGCAAAUAUUUCUCUAAA
Long non-coding RNA from Telopea speciosissima, 260 nucleotides. RefSeq lists it as uncharacterized. The transcript is spliced from 2 exons. Lineage: Eukaryota; Viridiplantae; Streptophyta; Magnoliopsida; Proteales; Proteaceae. The record is from RefSeq and is a predicted model, not a curated record.